This 432-nucleotide ribosomal RNA is filed under the name uncultured bacterium. RNAcentral's name for it is "partial 16S ribosomal RNA". It matches the Rfam family "Bacterial small subunit ribosomal RNA", at positions 29 to 506 of the family's 1533-position model. The record is from RNAcentral.
AACGAACGCUGGCGGCAUGCCUAACACAUGCAAGUCGAACGAGACCUUCGGGUCUAGUGGCGCACGGGUGCGUAACGCGUGGGAACCUGCCCUUAGGUUCGGAAUAACUCCCCGAAAGGGGUGCUAAUACCGGAUAAUGUCUUCGGACCAAAGAUUUAUCGCCUUUGGAUGGGCCCGCGUUGGAUUAGCUAGUUGGUAGGGUAAAAGCCUACCAAGGCGACGAUCCAUAGCUGGUCUGAGAGGAUGAUCAGCCACACUGGGACUGAGACACGGCCCAGACCCCUACGGGGGGCAGAAGGGGGGAAUUUUGGAAAAUGGGCGAAAGCCUAACCCAGCAAUGCCGGGGGGGGUAUGAAGGCCUUGGGUUUUAAAAGCUUUUUUCCCCGGGAGGAAAAGAAAGGUACCGGGGAAAAAAGUCCCGGCAAACCCCGG